GAUGAACGCUAGCUACAGGCUUAACACAUGCAAGUCGAGGGGUAACGAGAGGAAAGCUUGCUUUCCUUGUCGACGACCGGCGCACGGGUGAGUAACGCGUAUCCAACCUGCCCCCAACUAGGGAAUAACCUUGCGAAAGUAAGACUAAUACCCUAUAAUUUCCUCAGAUGCCAUCUGACGAGGAAUAAAGAUUUAUCGGUUGUGGAUGGUGAGGCGUCUGAUUAGCUUGUUGGCGGGGUAACGGCCCACCAAGGCAACGAGCAGUAGGGGUUCUGAGAGGAAGGUCCCCCACAUGAGAACUGAGACACGGACCAAACUCCUACGGGAGGCAGCAGUGAGGAAUAUUGGUCAAUGGGCGGAAGCCUGAACCAGCCAAGUAGCGUGCAGGAUGACGACCCUAUGGCUUGUAAACUGCUUUUAUACAGGAAUAAAGUUAGCCACGUGUGGUUAUUUGUAGGUACUGUAUGAAUAAGGACCGGCUAAUUCCGUGCCAGCAGCCGCCGUAA
This 506-nucleotide ribosomal RNA is filed under the name uncultured bacterium. RNAcentral's name for it is "partial 16S ribosomal RNA". It matches the Rfam family "Bacterial small subunit ribosomal RNA", at positions 28 to 523 of the family's 1533-position model. The record is from RNAcentral.